Molecule: long non-coding RNA, 872 nt
Organism: Daphnia pulicaria
Lineage: Eukaryota; Metazoa; Arthropoda; Branchiopoda; Diplostraca; Daphniidae
Exons: 3
Source: RefSeq, a predicted model, not a curated record
CAACUUUGCUCCCUCGCCCCGUAUUUCGUUAAUUUAUUCAAAAUGGUCGCCGUAUUAUUUUGUCGUCGGAAUUCGGAAAGUGCUUAUUGCCUUUGUACUUAUGAUUACAUGAUAUCUGUGAGCAACAUUCUGGUUGACCCCAUUGGAUUGGAGCCCACAUCUGUAUCGAGCAGAACCUUCUUUUCUUUUCCCUUUCUUACCUUUUGGCCUUUUCCUUUGUCUUUGUGUACAUUCAUGUGUGUGUGAAUGUAUUCACAAGGACAUCACUUAUUCCUCCUUUUUUUAUUCCACCACCUCUGUCACGGAAGCCGAUUGCCCAUGUCACUGUACAACUUCCGCUACUGUACACCGAGCGAGAAAACUAUGGACUACUAGAAUUGACGAUUCUGCUCCCUUUUGCUGAUUUUGGAUGUUGGCGGGUUGUUGGAGCCUACCGUGUCUCAUCGCUUCCAUCCAAGCAAAGCAUAAUCCAUCUCACUGCGACGACUACAAAUGGCGGGUUAAUACUCCAGUGGCGCCUUAGGAAGUCUUCAGCAGCAUUUCCAACUGCGGAAUGCGAAUGGACAGGAGGGCGAUGGUCUAAUAACGAACUAGAGACCAGAAACAAGUGAAUUUAUCGUCCGUUUACUGGAUUUGAUUGGUGCUAAAGGUGAAUUUAUACCGUUAUGCGACAUAGAAAUGACCGGCAUCUUCUUCCAGAAAAUUUAUAAGGAAUAAAACUUGGUAAAUUAAAACUAAAACCACAAUUGCCAGAAACAGUUAUUCCUCUUAACUUGAUUUUCACACCUGAUAUUUUAUUGAUUUCCAUUUAGGUUCGUCCUUGAAAUGUUACGGUUGCUUCGUACUGUAUUUUAAUCUCUCCACCCCUCUUU